RNAcentral lists this ribosomal RNA (468 nucleotides) under uncultured bacterium. RNAcentral describes it as "partial 16S ribosomal RNA". It matches the Rfam family "Bacterial small subunit ribosomal RNA", at positions 28 to 507 of the family's 1533-position model. The record is from RNAcentral.
GACGAACGCUGGCGGCGUGCUUAACACAUGCAAGUCGAACGGAAAGGCCCUGCUUUUGUGGGGUGCUCGAGUGGCGAACGGGUGAGUAAAACGUGAGUAACCUGUCCUUGACUUUGGGAUAACUUCAGGAAACUGGGGCUAAUAUCGGAUAGGAGCUCUUGCUGCAUGGUGGGGGUUGGAAAGUUUCGGCGGUUGGGGAUGGACUCGCGGCUUAUCAGCUUGUUGGUGGGGUAGUGGCUUACCAAGGCUUUGACGGGUAGCCGGCCUGAGAGGGUGACCGGCCACAUUGGGACUGAGAUACGGCCCAGACUCCUACGGGAGGCAGCAGUGGGGAAUAUUGCACAAUGGGCGGAAGCCUGAUGCAGCAACGCCGCGUGCGGGAUGACGGCCUUCGGGUUGUAAACCGCUUUCGCCUGUGACGAAGCGUGAGUGACGGUAAUGGGUAAAGAAGCACCGGCUAACUACGUG